Long non-coding RNA from Physeter macrocephalus (sperm whale), 480 nucleotides. RefSeq lists it as uncharacterized. The transcript is spliced from 3 exons. The record is from RefSeq and is a predicted model, not a curated record. Lineage: Eukaryota; Metazoa; Chordata; Mammalia; Artiodactyla; Physeteridae.
UGGCUCGUCCGUCCUUGUCCUCUUUCCUCUCGGUGUUUCUGUAGUUUGGGCUUCUCUCCCGGCUGUUUGAGUGAUAAAGAGAGGCGAGGCCUCGCUUCCCAGCUGCGAGGAGGGAAUUCCGGCCUGUCAGGGCAGAUAGGCCCAUUUCCCCAGAAUCGUUGAAGUGUUCCUUUUGUUGAAAAGAUGAUUAUUAGGAGACACCUUCGCCAGCAGCGUGUACAUGUCACCACACGUCCCCAGGGAGUGGAGCCCUGUGAGCGUUUGCAAGAGGUGUUUCGGGCAGGCUCAGGGAGAGGUGGCAGCGUGGCCUGUGCCCUCAACGCUCUCCCUGCGAGGACCAGAGGGCGACCCGGGACCUGCUGCGCCCAGACACCUGGCUGCAAGCUUCCCAGGGCUGGGUCUGCUGAAGACACAGGCAAGACAGGAGAACAAGGGUGAACUCUGCAGAGAUCGGGGCCGGUUGCUAAAGUGCCUACAGAC